Molecule: ribosomal RNA, 968 nt
Filed under: uncultured bacterium
Lineage: Bacteria
Description: bacterial SSU rRNA
Rfam family: Bacterial small subunit ribosomal RNA
Source: RNAcentral
AGGGGUGGCUUCGGCUACCCUGGAGACCGGCGGAUGGGUGAGUAACGCGUAGGCAACCUGCCUGGAGGACGGGGAUCACAUCGAGAAAUCGGUGCUAAUACCCGAUGAUGCAGCGGCCCCGCAUGGGGACAGUUGUUAAAGGUUUUCGAGCGCCUUCAGAUGGGCCUGCGUGUCAUUAGCUGGUUGGUGAGGUAACGGCUCACCAAGGCGAUGAUGACUAGGGGGUCUGAGAGGAUGAUCCCCCACACUGGGACUGAGACACGGCCCAGACUCCUACGGGAGGCAGCAGUGAGGAAUCUUGCGCAAUGGGGGCAACCCUGACGCAGCCACGCCGCGUGCCGGAAGACGGCCCUAUGGGUUGUAAACGGCUUUUACCAGGGAAGAACCCGGGGGAUUCGUCCCCCGCUGACGGUACCUGGAGAAUAAGCACCGGCUAACUCCGUGCCAGCAGCCGCGGUAAUACGGAGGGUGCAAGCGUUGUCCGGAAUCAUUGGGUGUAAAGGGUGCGUAGGCGGAAGCCUAAGUCGGGGGUGAAAUCCUGCCGCUCAACGGCAGAAUGGCCUUCGAUACUGGGUUUCUUGAGUCCGGAAGAGGUUGGUGGAAUUCGUGGUGUAGCGGUGAAAUGCAUAGAUAUCACGAAGAACACCGGUGGCGAAGGCGGCCAACUGGUCCGGCACUGACGCUGAGGCACGAGAGCGUGGGGAGCGAACAGGAUUAGAUACCCUGGUAGUCCACGCUGUAAACGAUGUAUGCUAGUUGUUGGCCCUUCGGGGUCAGUGACGCAGUUAACGCAGUAAGCAUACCACCUGGGGAGUACGUUCGCAAGAAUGAAACUCAAAGGAAUUGACGGGGGCCCGCACAAGCGGUGGAGCAUGUGGCUUAAUUCGAUGCAACGCGAAGAACCUUACCCAGGCUAAAUCCACGGUGACCGCUCCGGAAACGGGGUUUCCCUUCGGGGCACCAUGGUA